Molecule: long non-coding RNA, 220 nt
Filed under: Mytilus galloprovincialis (Mediterranean mussel)
Lineage: Eukaryota; Metazoa; Mollusca; Bivalvia; Mytilida; Mytilidae
Source: RNAcentral
AAGUGAAUCAAUAUUAAAGCCAAAAUAUGCAAUCUUUAAUGACCUGAUAACAGUAUCGUAACUAUAUCCCUUCUUAAUAAGUCUGUUUAAAGGUUUUGAAAGCUUUUGAGGUGAAUACUGACAUUGUUGUGCUUUGUAAAGAAUAUUACCAUAAAAGAUUGGAUGUGAAAUACCUGAACGUAUAAAAUGUCUGCAUGUUGAGUUAUAUUUACGAAUUAUU